This 484-nucleotide ribosomal RNA is filed under the name uncultured bacterium. RNAcentral's name for it is "partial 16S ribosomal RNA". It matches the Rfam family "Bacterial small subunit ribosomal RNA", at positions 28 to 523 of the family's 1533-position model. The record is from RNAcentral.
GAUGAACGCUGGCGGCGUGCUUAACACAUGCAAGUCGAACGGUGAAGCAGGAGCUUGCUCUUGUGGAUCAGUGGCGAACGGGUGAGUAACACGUGAGCAACCUGCCCCUGACUCUGGGAUAAGCGCUGGAAACGGCGUCUAAUACUGGAUAUGUGAUGUGACCGCAUGGUCUGCAUCUGGAAAGAAUUUCGGUUGGGGAUGGGCUCGCGGCCUAUCAGCUUGUUGGUGAGGUAAUGGCUCAACAAGGCGUCGACGGUUAGCCGGCCUGAGAGGGUGACCGGCCACACUGGGACGGGGACACGGCCCAGACUCCUACGGGAGGCAGCAGUGGGGAAUAUUGCACAAUGGGUGGAAGCCUGAUGCAGCAACGCCGCGUGAGGGAUGACGGCCUUCGGGUUGUAAACCUCUUUUAGCAGGGAAGAAGCGAAAGUGACGGUACCUGCAGAAAAAGCACCGGCUAACUACGUGCCAGCAGCCGCCGUAA